RNAcentral lists this long non-coding RNA (19350 nucleotides) under Linum usitatissimum (flax). RNAcentral's name for it is "long non-coding RNA (LUSI_LNC005074)". Lineage: Eukaryota; Viridiplantae; Streptophyta; Magnoliopsida; Malpighiales; Linaceae. The record is from RNAcentral.
CACAAUGUAAGCUUACCUCAGCAGUUGUAGAAACAGAUUGUUGUCUUGCCUCCUGAACAACGAUUUCAAAGUUCCACCCUGCCUCCUAAUUAGCACCAACUGUGUGACUUCCUCCUAAGCAGAAACAUACAUUUUAUUAUAAUACUGUACUUACAACAUUGCUAUGAAUCAAAGGAAAAACAACCACAAACCCUAUACUUAAACGUACCUAAACAGCGGAAUGAAACCAAUUUUGGCCCUGAUUCUAUAACUCUCUAGUCCAGAGCAGUAAUCUGAAACAUAUAACACUGCAAAUCAGAUUUUUCACAUAAUAACAGACACAAAACAUUCAAAGAGUCACAAAAGCCACAAACACAUUCACAAAAGCCACAAACACAUAAUAACAGAUAACUUACUGGUAUGAAAUGAAUCGGAAGGAAAAAUCCCAAAUUUGAUAAAUUAGGGUUUCUGUCUUCUGGAUUUUGUUCGACGAACUGCAUAUGAAGCAAUAAACCCAAAAAUUAGUAUACAAUUUAUACAUGCAGGGAUAAACAAAAAUAAGGAAUGGCAGAAUAAAAAACUUAUCUCGAUUUGGGGAAGGAAUCCUUUGCAUGCACGAUUCGAACCAGAUUUUUGCGGAUUGAAGGAGUUUUGUAGUUGAAUAUGGGUAGGUGAUGAUUAUAGUGGGGAUGGAUUCGAUGAAUAUCAACAGAAAAGGAAGAUUUGGGAGAAAAAUUAGGGUUUCAGUGGAGUUCUUUCGAGAGGAAGUCGGGAGAAAAUUCUGGAGAGAGGCUCAGAGGCGUGAAAAAAUGGCUGAAAUGAAACCCUAGUCUGAAAAUUUUGCUUUUAUACCCUAUAUCAAUACUACGUCGUUUUAACUCACGGAUUGGAUAUGGGUCGGAUAAGUUAUUAUCCGUAUCCGCCCAUUACCCGAAACUCGCGGGUCACGGGCCUGACCGAAACCGGUAAACAUCCAUCGGGCCCAGACUUUCGGGCUGUAUUCGCGGGCGGGCUCCACUGGGUAACCUAAACCCGUGGGCUGACUGCCAAGCCUAGCCAUGUGUCGCCUUUAAAUUGGCCGUUAUACCAAUUUUAGUUUACUUUUGAAAAUUAAUACCUUGAACCCUCUAUCUAGACAAUCUAAUUAAAUUCACUAUAUGAUAAAAAUCUCGAAAAGAAAUCACGGUUAAACCGAAACACUAUACUUAAAACCUUCCACAUCUCAAGACCUACCCACACACACAAGUAUUACAACACCAAUUUGAAAAAAUACAUGACAUUCGAUACAUUUUACUUCAUAAAUGUACACAUGAUUAUAGUUUCAGACCCUAAUGAGUUAUCCAUCAUCUACAAAAAUUCGACUCUCACAUUAUUCUCCACCACCAUGUACAAAUGCAAAACCGAACUCAAAUGUCUAACCAAUUUGUAUCACCAUCAAAAAAUAUUGUAUAAAAAGGUAUAAAAGAAGUAAGAAAAGCUCAUGAGCUUAAUUACCAGUAAAUGAGCCAAAACGUCAACAAUUUUCUCCAAUUUUUCUAAUCUAUAGCUUUGGUGUUCCACGCCGUUUGUUAACUCUGUUAGUAAAUACAGAUUCUUCUUCAACUAUUAAUUAGCAUUUUACUCCAACGUUAAUCAACUAAUUUCAAUACAAAACUCCACUCCCAAAAAUUAAUUUCGAAGGUAAACUUUUAUUUUACCGAGUUGAAGGUAAAAUUUAAUUAUUAACCUGUGAAAAGAAUUUGCUUAGUAAUUCUUGUAUGCCACCCAUCACUUUCGUCGCCGUCCUUAAAGCUUCCUCGAUCGAUCCCUUUGGAUUUUUCGAAUUAUUGAAACUUUUAUUAUAAAAAUGUACAAAGAAUAUAUAAAAACCUUGAUUAUUAUUAUUAUCCAAUUAAAAAUUGUUAAGUCUACCUUCUCAGAAGCAGGACCGAGUUUCCGAGUCACCCGAUUGACUGCCUCAACGUUCUUCCUUUCCGUUUUCUACCACUCGAUCGGUAGAGUUAGUUGCCAACUCAUUAUCCGACUCAGCUUCUCCUCUACCUUCAUCCUCUGAAUCUCCAUUACCCUUUUCCUCUUCUGCCAAAUCGUAAGCCACGCGUGGAUCAGCUUCGCACGUGUGGCAAGCUCCCUCACAUUUGCAGCUGCUUCUGCCUUCGCGUUCGCGAAUCUUCACUGGAUUAACGUACCGUUCACAACUUCGAAAUUCCGCCGCCGCCGCUCCCCUCGCCGACGCAGCUACUCGAUCCGCGCUCACUCCUUCCCUCCCUCCCUUGUCUUUGGAGACUUAAUAAGCCACUACAAAUAUUAAUUACUGAAAUUUCCUGUGAUAAAUUCAUCUUGUCGUCGUAAAAACUAAUCAAAACCUUAUUUAAUUAAACUCUUUUUUGUAAUUGUAUUAAUGUCUAGUUGAAAGCCAGGUAUAAUAUAAUUAUUUUACAAAAAAGGUAUAUUAUAAUUAACUUCAUUACAAAAAAUAAUCAUAGCUGAAAUUUGAUUUAAUUAAUUAAAUUAAAUUACACAUGAUGCAAAAGAAGUAAACCCUAACCCCUAGCGCACGUCAAUCACUCCGACGAUGACUUCUUGCUACCUUCCUUCUUCCUCACGCAACAUAUAACGUAGUCCUCGAUACCACCACCACACCUGUCCGCCAAAACCCUACCAAGACGAUACUCAUGCAUCACCCAUUCCCCAGCCUCCGAAGAAGAACUCGAACUCGAACCACCACCGUGAUUGAUGACCUUGUAAGAGAAAGACCUAUCGAAACCGAUGGUGGUGGACUCACCGUCGGUGCUGUAGACUAUAGGCUCCUCCUUCUGCGACUUCCACACGCAGUUUCCGAAGCUCCUCUCGACUCGCUUGCCCUUCUCGUUCUUCUUCUUCCGCUUGGUAAAGAAGUAGAGCUCCGACUCGUUGACCUCGUCCUUGAAGUGUCUCUUCCAUGGCUCGUCGGGGGAGUAGAGGUCGCACUCGAUUAUACCGUCAAAGGGCGGAGGAGGGUGGUUGGGGUUGACGGUGGCUCUGAUGGCUAACGGGUAGAGGUAUGUGAGGAUUAGUUCUUGGUCCGAUGGUUUGAAUCGGUACCCUACUGCUAGGUUCUUGAUCUUCAUUCUUGCAGCAAGAUGCAAAUCAAGUAACUAGUUGAUUACUAGUGAUUAAUUAGGGAGAGUGAAGGUUUAGCUUAGGUUAAUUAGUGUGUUAGUUAUAUAUAGGGGUGCUAAUUAACUAGUAUUUGAUUAGGACUAGGACACGUGUAGACAUUUCAUUACUUGCUGGGUAAUCAAAUAACUAAUUUCCUUCACGUACGUACGCUGUACGAUAUGUAUUUUUAUUUGAGUGCGCAUUAUUUAUAAAUGGAUAACUUUUGAAAAAAUAAUUCAAAAAUACAACUUAAUUAGCAUAUCUUACUCAGAAUGGUGAUUAGUGUCUUUUGAACUACAUCUUAAUUUAGAUUAAUGAGNNNNNNNNNNNNNNNNNNNNNNNNNNNNNNNNNNNNNNNNNNNNNNNNNNNNNNNNNNNNNNNNNNNNNNNNNNNNNNNNNNNNNNNNNNNNNNNNNNNNNNNNNNNNNNNNNNNNNNNNNNNNNNAGUUAAAAUGAAGUAAACUAGUGGAUCCAAAAAAUUUAAAAAUAAAUAAAUAACGGAGAAUUACCAUUUUCUUCUCCGUGAGAUUACGACAUUUAUAAUAGUUAGAGUGAUUUAAAAAAAACGUAGGCCGGCGAAUAGUACGCCUCGGGAUGAGCGGGGGAGAAGAAAAUGACAAUUCUCCGUUAUUUAUUUAUUUUUUACUUUUCAAGAUCCACUAGUUUACGUCAUUUUAACUUGGCGACGUGCUAGAUCUUAAAAAACCUACAAUAAUAGAUAAGUGUAUGUAAAAUACUACUAUAAUGGCAUCUUAUGCAGAAUCUUAAAUAUAAUGAAAUUCGGUGCAAUAACGCAAGACUGUAGUAGCAUGUGCCGCAUUUUACUCAUGAACUUUCAUAAUUUCAUUUGUCUUACUUAUGGAUAUUUAUGUCAUUUUUAUUUCAAUUUUUAAUUUAAUUAUUUUUCAAAUUAAAAUCUCUCUAAAUCAACCAUCCAAAACAAUUUAUUUUUCAAAAUAACACGAGUUUCAAAUUCCGUAAUAAUUUAGAAGGAAGACGAGGUGGUUAAAUAGGAGGGGAGGAGAUGAAAAUAGAAGGAGAAAAUUCAAUGGAGAGUGGCAGAGCCAUUGACAAUUGGAGGCAUGUGGUCAAAUGGAAACAUAGCGCGGUCUACAUUGUUCAAAAAAGAUGAGAGCCACGUAUAUUUUUGCGUGGGUAACUUCUCAAAGUGGAAUAUUGAUUGAGUUCGUGCACUAUAUUUAAAGGAGGAAGACGAAAGUAGAACGAGAAAGGCUGAUGAGAGUGCAUGCCCCAUUGAUCAUUAGAGGCAUGUAUCUAUGUGCUCAAAUGAAAUCUAGCGAGGUCUAUAUUGUUCGUAACGAGUGGAAAUGUAGGGGAUUCAACUCUGUACUUUUCGCAUGUAAAACGAAAUGCUCUAUUAUUUAAAGCUUAAUUUAAAAUAAACGAAAAUCAAUUUGAGGAUUUAUAAAGAUCGUUAUUGAAAAAAUAUGACGAUAGAUAUCAUAUUAUUAUUAUUAUUUACGUAAUUAAUAGUUAUCUCAUGGGGAAUUAAUUAUUAUCAUAUACAUUAUACGGAGAGAGAGUAAAGUAGGGUUCAUGAGGCUCUUGCGUUACAUUUAUUAAACUCCCUCCCCCCUUCCGCCCAACAACUCACCCUCCCCCCCCUCACACCAACUCCUCCCCAUUCUCUACAUCACUCUUCCUUUUUCUUUCUUUCCAUCUCAGAAAAACAAAACAAAAAAUCUUCCGCCGCUAUCAACGACGACGAUGGAGAAUACCACAUCACAUUCAACACCGACGAUGUUGAUCAUGGCCGCCGCCGCCCUCCUCUUGUUUCUUUCCUUCUUCUUGUCCGCCGUCGAAUCCUCAUCGUCGCUAUCAGCUUCUAGUAAUAAACCUACUACAUCACCACCACCACCGGUCCGCCGCCAGCUCUCCGCAACAACCGCCGCGGAUUCUUCCUGCAGCACCGCUGUGUGCAUGGAGCUUCGAAAAAUGAUAAAGUCCCGACGUCAACAAGCUGGCCGCCGUGAGAACAAGAGCUACACCGCCGGCGAGCAUCAAGAUCGUCAAGAACAAGACAGCGGCGGGGGAGGAGGUGGAGAGAUAGACAUGAGGUACGGCGUUGAGAAGCGGUUGGUCCCUUCCGGCCCAAACCCUCUCCACAACUAGCUAGAAGAAUCAAACUCCGAGAAUCUCCUAUUUCCCGGUCGAUGGUAAACGACGUCGUAUUAUUAGCCUCAAACAACACUGUCCAUAUUAUUUGUUUCGUUUCGUACUUUUUUUGUCCUUUUCCUUCCAGAAAUCCGGUGCGGCGUCGUUUAUGAUCAACCGCGGUGAACUGAUCUAGCGUAUAGAGAGUAUUAUGAAGAUCACUUGGUUUCUGAUGCUUCUUCCAUUUCUUGUUUGGCUUCGCAAAGAUAUUAAUUAAAUUGUUUUUUUUAUAUAAUUAAUAUAUUUUUAUCAGGGGGAAAUUCAAAUGGUGGUGGAAUUUAAUUAUUAUUAUUAUUAUUAUAUAUAUAUAUAUGGGUUCAAGAGAUACUCAUGAAUUUCAUUAAUUUGUCGGCUGGCUCCCCCUUAAUUCUCUUUUAUUUUUUGUUGCCCUUAUUCCAUGGUAUGCAUGUGUGCAUUAAAUUUGCCGACUUCAGUAGUAAGUUUGUCACCUUCACCGUAUUUACUUCCUCCUUCAACCUCCCUAUUCUCCGACUCUUUCUGUCCAUCAAGCUAAGUGUACGUACACACAUAUAUACAGUCGCCCAUGCAUGUGGGAGGUGUGUAACCGAUUGAUGGUAAUUUGGUGUCACGAGUUACCACCUAGAUCAUUUGACGGUUAACAUGAUCGUGGCAGUAAGCAUUUCGUGAUGUAUAAUAUAUAAUCGAAGGUUAGCAAAUAUGUAUUCCGUUAGUUCAAAAAUUGAACAAGCAUAUAUCCCACGUGCCAUACUCUUUUCAUUCCACCGUUUAAUUAAUAGUAGUUAGACCACUAAUUAUAGUACUAUAAUAAAUAUUGCACCUGCCACUUGGUGAUUAACCGUUUACCUUAACGACCAUAUGGUCAAAUUUUUAUCAUAUUUCGGUUAUGAUUUGUUUUCCAAUAAUGUAGUUUCGAUGGUUGGGGAUAAUAAGAUGUCAAGAUAGAAAAGCGAGUACAAACUAAGUAUAUAUAUACCAACCCAAGUAUAUUUUUAUUUGAUAGAUAUCUAAUUAAGAGUUUAUCUUACUUUAAAGUACUCUGACACUUUAUUUUGUUCAAUUAGUGAAGAAAUUCAAGCCCUCGAAGAAAGUAGUAAGCUCAACCAAUAUUGCUUCAUCCGACAAGUAGCUGACUAGCUUAGACCACCACCGAGAGACUACUAACUUUGUAUUAUCUUUUACUAUCCACUAGAACCUAACCAGAUACGAAGAGCACAAACGACAAGUAAGAAAAAAAUUUCAAUACAAAUCACAUAAUAUGGGAGGCUAUUUGAAUUCUGAACUAUCAAUUUAAUAACGGCACAAUAUAAAGAAAGAACCACCCUCACAACUCGUUCCACCCCACCCACAUGUUUAUAAUUGCAAAAAGAUUAUGAAUGUUAAUUGUAACACAACUCAUGUCAAUAAGUGGCUAACAAGUAACAAAGAAAAGGAUACAAAAUAUGUGGAAAACAAAAUAAAAAAGUAUUCAAAUCUAAAAUCUUUUUGUAAAAAAAAAAAAGUAUUCAAAUGCUAUUUGAUUCUCACUAGUAGCAGACAGUUGAUCGGAUCUUCCUCUGGGAAAGACCACCAAAAAAAUGGCGCGUCAUCUCCUUCUCUUCCUCCUCAUCGGUCUCCUCCACACUAUCGCCCUCUCGAAAACCCUCAAACGCGACGGUAAAUGACUGAAUUCACCAGAUCUGACCUCCUCCGCCGCGGCGGAUUGAACGGAUAUAAACUGAUUUCAUUUCGAUGCAGUGAAGGCACUGAACGAGAUCAAGUCGUCACUGGGAUGGAGAGUUGUGUACGCCUGGGUAGGAGACGACCCUUGCGGCGGCGACGGCCUCCAGCCUUGGUCCGGCGUCACCUGCUCCACUCAGGGAGAUUACAGAGUCGUCACCGAAUUGUAAAGUUUGUGAACAGUGUAUACCUUAAGUUCUUCCCGCCUAUGGGGUUUGAAUGGUGAGUGAUUGAUGCUUUUGUUUUGUAUUGGUAGGGAAGUGUAUGCAGUGUCGAUUGUCGGUCCAUUUCCUACUGCGGUGACGAAUCUGCUGGAUCUCACCAGAUUGUGAGGCUCCUUCUUGCCUUUGCAUUUUCACUUCAUUGUAUUAGAGUUUAUGUUUUCUGAAUGUUUGAUGCUGAAUAGGGAUUUUCAUAAUAACAAGCUGACAGGGCCGAUCCCUCCUCAAAUUGGGAGGUUGAAGCGUCUCAAGAUACUGUAUAGCCCCUUGCCUUGCUUGAUUGCUUUCUGUUUUUAGCCAGUUUUGAUUGGAUUCAUGGUGUGAAGUUGUGUUUCUAUCUUAGGAAUUUGAGGUGGAACAAGUUGCAAGAUUCACUUCCUCCUGAAAUCGGCGAGCUUAAGAGUUUGACACAUUUGUGAGUUGAUCAUUCAUUCGUUUGACACAAUAAUGUGAUUGUUUACGCCGAUUUCAAGUUGAUGUUAAUAUGGAAAAUGUUGUUGGAAGGUAUUUGAGCUUCAAUAAUUUCAAAGGAGAGAUUCCAAGGGAGCUAGCUAAUCUUCCCGAGCUUCGAUAUCUGUACUUGCAAGAGAAUAGGUUCUCGGGGAGAGUUCCUGCAGAAUUGGGAACGUUGCAGAAUCUUCGCCACUUGUAUGUAGUAACCAUCCCAUCUUCUCUGUUGAUUCUUGCUGUGUUAUGGCCUAGGGGUGUAGCCCUUUUAUCCAGUUUUCGGUAUGUGUAGGGAUGUUGGCAACAAUCAUUUGGUGGGUACUAUAAGAGAACUAAUCCGGAUUGAGGGUUGUUUCCCUGCGCUUCGCAACUUGUAAGUUCAUUUCAUCCUCACCAUGGGGAGCCUGUGAGUUGCUAAUGUGAGAUUAUUUAACGUGACUGAUUGCAUUUGUGUUCUUGUUUCUCUAGCUAUCUGAACAAUAAUUAUUUUACCGGAGGAGUCCCUACGCAGCUAGCUAACUUGACAAACUUAGAAAUCUUGUAAGCUUCCGUGCAUUCUUUCCGUUUUCUUUCUUCUGUAAAUUCCUUGAACAAUUCUCUUUCCAUGUCCGCUCUCCCUCAAAGAUUAUCUUCAAGUUCUAUGUGUCCUGUUUUCUCUUACCUUAAUACGUUUCUGGCAGGCACCUAUCCUAUAACAAGAUGACUGGAGUAAUACCCAUUGGACUUGCUUCCAUCCCGAAGUUGACAUAUCUGUAAGUUUCUUCAACGAGUUUUAGUUCCUUCAUUUCCAUCAGAUUACCGUUUGAGAUCACUGAAUCUAUAACACUUACAGGUACAUCGAAGGAAGCUCGUUCAAGCCUGGCGUAAAUCCAAUAGGCAUGCACAAAGUCUUCGAAGUAUCUGAUGCAGAUUUUGUAGUUUAAAAACCCUUAGCUAAUUUUUUGUACUCUAAUUUAUUUCACACUUUCUCUGUUACAAGCCUAUACAUAGAGAGAGUUGAUGCUGUUAAAUGUAUGGAACACAACCCAAAAUCAUGCUAAAAGCCAUUGUCUAGUAGUUCUCAUCAAUGUUUUGAAUAUAGCACCUGAAGGUUCGGUCGGUUCUAGCAUCGUUCAAUUAGGGUUUAUAAUAGUUUGAACAAUCGAACUGCAUACGGUUAGUUUUAGUGAUACUAUCUUCGGUAUGGUUCUGGAGAUCAUUGUUCUAACUGCUAAUCCUUCAUUCAUUGUGCUAAGCUUUCACAUUUCAUGAUAUGGAACUGUUCGUAAAACCACAAAUUUUACCAUCGUUUUAAAAAAUCGCACCGAAAUGGAUAGUUUGACUUGUCUGAUCUUAAACCGCUCAUAAAAAUAGUCUGGCACGAUCCAGAUAUAUCAAAGUUAAAGACUUUAAUUUGUAACCUAUUAAAUGGUUGAACCACAUUUGAAAAACGUUCUUUCCAACCCAAUCCAAAUUCCUAAAGCAUCCUAAUAUACAAAAUUAAAUGAUAAUAUUCCUUGAAAUAAACUUAAGUGGCCGCUUUAAUUACCAUCCAAUAGUUAAGUAUAGUUAAUUUAUGAUUAGAUAAAUCAAACCAGGCCGUUAUUUCAGUUCUGUUUCUUGUCGGGUUUUCUAAUCACUUGUCCAUUUUUAACUAACCUCCAUUUUCUUUUCAGAUUUUCUCCCUUUCAUUUCUUCUUCUUCUUUCCUCUUCAGGCUUCGUGUUCCUCCACAGAGCCUAACAGGAACGAGGAAUGUGAUCUCAUCAAAAUUAAAUUUUCAGAUUUAUCAAAACUACGAUGUCGAGUUUCAAUGUUCUUCUCCUUCUCUGUUCAAUCAUCCUAUCAAGUUUCUUCACCCUAUCGUACUCUGAUCAUCCUCACUAUGAAGAUGUCCACCAUGCUCACCACAAGAUGAAGGACCCGGAUGAAAUCACCGUCACGAUCAAAUCAGGCGCCGCUGUAUCCCACACUGCCGACGACUACGUCUGCGCAACUCUCGAUUGGUGGAGGAAAGACAAAUGCGAUUACCGACACUGCCCGUGGGGAAACGCUGGAAUUCUUGAUGUGGUAAUGUGUUUGUAACGGAAAUGUCUUUAUUAUUGGGUGAUCUUCGGGAACUGAUUCGUUGAUUUUGGUUUGAAUCAUGCAGGAUCUUAACAAUACACUUUUGGCCAAAGCUAUCAAGGGUAAGUAAAAAGUUCUGGGAUUUUUUUUCAGUCACCUUUAAGAUGUUCGAUGAAAUGCCUCAAUGAGGAAAUAAUUGCCCAUUUUUUAUGUGUUGUGUGUAGCGUUUGAUCCGUUGAGGCUUAGAGUGGGAGGAUCAUUGCAGGAUCUGGUGACUUAUGAAGUUGGAGGAGCUGUCGGUAUUCAUCCCAGCUUCGUGAAGGACAAAGAUGUGAUGCUUGGGUUCAAACCGGGGUCUCUUCCCAUGAAAAGAUGGGACGAGCUUAAUGAAUUCUUCGCUAAAACUAAGUGAGUUGUUCAUAAAUUAGAAAACUAUAAGUAAUUUUCUUUCUCUACCUAACCAAGUUGAUUGCUUUUGUUUGUAGUACCAAAGUAAUUUUUGGUUUGAAUGAGCUCUCUGGCAAGAAAAAGGAAAACCCGUCGACGACUCAAAUGGUAGGAGACUGGGACCCUACUAAUGCUCGCGAUUUCAUGAACUACACUGUUCAAAAGGGAUACAAGAUUGAUGCCUAUGAAUUGGGUACGUCUUCAUCAUAAAAGUAUUAAAAACUAUGAUCUUCUAUUGAUGGGUGAUGACAUUGAUUGAUUGCUCACAUCUUUUUAUAGGAAAUGAGUUGUGUGGUGAUGGAGUAGAUGCUAAGAUAGAUCCGGAGCAGUAUGCAAAAGAUACUAAAGAGCUAAGGAAAGUCUUGAAUGAAUUGUACCCGGAUCCUAAGUCCAGGCCCCAAGUUCUGGCUCCUGGAGGUUUCUUUUUCAAGGAAUGGUUCAAAACCUACCUUCAUGCUUGCGGACCAAACGUUAUCGAUGGCGUAACCCACCAUGUCUACAAUCUUGGAACUGGUAAAAUUUUCGAAAUUGUUAGCUCUUAGAGUGUUUGAUAUCCAAUGGUUGCUUUGGCUGGACCAUUGAUUGUGAAAGUUUGUGCCUUUUCUUUAUCAGUGCUUUAUACCCAUCUGUUUCUGUAUUCAUUAAACACCAACCUUUGAAAAUUUCCAGGUGGUGAUCCGAAGAUAAUAGACAGGAUUCAAGAUCCACAUUUCCUGAGCGAGGUAGUUCAGCUGUACAGGGACGUUCAGGAAGUAGCGGAGCAGUCUGGAUCAGGAGCAUCUCCUUGGGUCGGAGAGGGAGGCGGAGCUUACCUAAGCGGUGGUAUAAAUGUUCAAUCCACUUUCGUUGAUGGAUACUGGUACUUGGAUCAGCUUGGCUUGGCCGCAGUUCACAGCCAUAAGGCCUACUGCAGACAAGCCAUUGUUGGUGGAAACUACGGCUUCCUCAAAAACGACGUCUUUACCCCUAACCCUGAUUACUAUGGGUACCUUAACAUUUCGAUAGUAUCUUCAUAGAUCUUUCAACCUUAUUUGAGCUUUAGACUCACUUUCACAUUCUGCAUUUUGAUAAUCAGUGCACUAUUAUGGCAUCGGUUGAUGGGGACCGGAGUUCUAGCAACCAGCCACAACGGAUCUCCAUUCCUUAGGGCAUAUUCACAUUGCUCUAAGAAGAAGGUAUUGAUAUCUAAAGCCAGUUUUUCAACAUUCAAAUAUCUGCGUCUAACCAUUAGAAAAAUCCUGACAAGACAUUGUUUCUGGGUUUUGCUUUCUUUUUGGGCAGUCUGGAGUUACUCUGAUGCUGAUCAACAUGUCGAAAACUUCGACAUUCCAUAUCAUGAUCACCGACGAAUUGAACAACCACCACAAGGAUUCUGAUUCAAGCCAUCUCAAAGAGGAAAGAGAGGAGUACCAUUUGACACCAGAAGGAGGAAAUAUCACGAGCGAUGUCGUUCUUCUGAACGGAGUUCCGUUGCAGCUUACAGCUUCCGGUGACAUCCCGGAAAUGCCUCCGAAGCUUGCCCCAGCUUCAUCUCCGGUGACAAUGGUUCCUGGCUCUUUUGUUUAUGUAUCCAUUAAGGAUUUCAAGGCCCCUGCCUGCUGAGAAAGACCAGAGCUUUUUGGUCUCUUUUUGGAUUUCUUGGUUCCUUAUAAAAGGUGGUAAAGAAAACUUGAUCUACAAGUUAACUUCCAUUUUGUAACCUAAGGUCUCUGAUGAGGUUAAUCUAAUGGAAUAGAAAAAUAUUCUUUAAUUAAUAUAUAUUAUUGUAUAAAAUUCAUUAAGCAUGCUUACAUUUGUUAUUUAUUGAGUAAUUAUCAAUGAUAAUGUUGGAUAAUCUUUUUCACUUAAAAACCUGAUAUCACUCAAGGUAACUAAAAAUCUUAUCCACCUGAUUCACUUUUACAUUCCGUUUCAACAAAGUCCGACAAAAUCAUAGGCUUAUCCAAAUAACAGAUUUCAUAGCAAACAAUAACAAUAAAAUCUCUUGCUGAGCUAUAUAUAUAUCCACUGUACACACACACUUAGUUUUCUUCAAUACUCUGUGUUUCCUUUUCUGAUUCUACAAUGGCAGCAGCUUUCAGAGCUUUCCUCGUCUACUCACUCUUCCGCUCGACCCUCUCAGUGCUAUGCUCCGCUGACACUUCUAGGAUCACCGUCACGAUACAGUCAGUGAACUCCAUAGCGAAAACCGACAAUGAUUUCAUCUGUGCAACUCUAGAUUGGUGGCCCAAGAACAAGUGUGACUACAACCAGUGCCCUUGGGGACAAACCAGCGCCCUGAAUCUGGUAUAUAUGCCGGCUGUUCAUUUCCUUUUCGGUUGUUCUUAAUUGGGUUUUCGGUUCUGAUUAAUGGGUUUUGGUUGAAAACAUAUUUCAGGAUCUGAAGAACACCAAUCUGGCAACAGCUAUCAAAGGUAGGUAGAAAGUUCAUUGCUUUGAAAGCUUCCUUCAUCAAAGCUGUGAUCUAAUUAAUGUUGGUUUGUAGCUUUCGAUCCGUUGAGGAUUCGGGUUGGGGGGUCGUUGGAGGAUCUGGUGGUUUACAAAGUUGGGAAAGCGAUCAAGAGAUUCCCAAAGUUUAAGAAGCUGAAAGGUGGGAUGUUUGGGUUCAGCAGAGGUACUCUCACCAUGGAUAGAUGGGAUCAGCUCAAUCAGCUUUUCACCAAAACAAAGUAAUUAAGUUCAUACUAAUAAUCCGACUGUUAGUUACCAAAAAUGACGAAUCAUAUUAAAUCUGACGGUUUUUUACGAUUUCGUUGUAGUGCCAAAGUCAUCUUUGGCCUCAAUGCUCUGGUUGGGAAAAGAAAGAAAGAUGAAUCUUCCACUCUCUGGAUCGGAGACUGGAACUCGCAGAAUGCUCGAGAUUUCAUGAACUAUACCGUUCAGAAGGGCUAUAAAAUCGACUCUUACGAACUCGGUAGUUCUCUGAAACGAUUCUUGUACAGAUCAGUUUUUUUCUUCUUGUACUAUCAAACCUCGAACCGUUUAACAUUACUUUUUUGUCAGGAAAUGAGCUGAGCGGCUCGGGGGUUUCUGCUCGGGUGGAACCUGAGCAGUAUGCAAAGGACACAAUCAAAGUCAGGAAAGCUGUAAAUGAAUUAUAUCCAGAUCCCAAUUCCAGGCCUUUAGUAUUGGGUCCUGCCGGAUUCUUCGAUAAGGAAUGGUUCAAGAAGUACCUUCAAGCUGUUGGACCGAACGUUGUCGAUGGCGUAACCCACCACAUUUACAAUCUCGGCGCAGGUAAAAACGUUACGUACCUUCAGGAAUUAGUAUCGGCCUAUCGGGUUCAUAUCAUUAAUUACUGUUUUGCAGGAGUGGAUUCCAAGCUGAUUAAUAAGGUUCAAGAUCCGUUCUUUCUCGACAAAGUGGCUCAGACGUUCAAGGAAGUUCAGGAUAUUGUCGAGCAAUCCGGAACCGCUGCAGCUCCGUGGGUCGGGGAAUCGGGUGGAGCUUUCAACAGCGGUGGAAAGGACGUUUCAAACACUUUCGCUAAUGGGUUCUGGUACUUGGAUCAGCUCGGUAUGACCUCGACUUUCGGCCACAAGGCUUACUGCAGACAAUCCCUUGUUGGUGGAAACUAUGGAUUGCUUAGGAGUGAUAGUUUCACUCCAAAUCCCGACUAUUAUGGGUAACACAAAAAAGAUUCCGUCUUUUUGUUUUGUUUUUAUCUCGUAACUGUUGCUCUGAAUGUUCGGAUCGUUUGCUUUGUGAUAGUGCACUUUUGUGGCAUCGGUUGAUGGGGACCAUAGUGUUGAGAACGAUCCAUGACGGGUCUCCAUACCUGCGGGCAUACUCACAUUGCUCCAAGAAAAAUGUAAAGUAUCUUCAGGAUUUCUGAUAAUCCAAAUCCGGACAGGAAUAUGAUUUCUGAUUAUCUACAUUUUUUUUUAAUUUGUGGCAGUUUGGAGUGACUUUGCUGCUGAUCAACAUGUCGAAUUCGACGACAUUCAACGUUUGGGUGACUAACGAUCUGAACCUUUACCGGACAACGACCGAUUCGACCAUUCUGACAGAGGAUAGGGAAGAGUACCAUCUGACACCUGAAGGUGGGAAUAUUCAGAGCGAUGUUGUGCAGCUGAACGGGACUCCAUUGAAGCUGAGUUGUGGUGAGAUUCCGAUGAUGGAUCCGAAGCUCGUACCGGCUUCGUCCACGGUGACUGUUGCUCCGGAUUCGUUCGUUUAUGUCAACAUCAAGGAUUUCAAGGCACCUGCUUGCUAGAAAAGAAACAGAAGAGGAUAUGCUUUUCUUUUAGUUUAGUAGUUAGGAAAAGCUCAGGAAAAAUUGUUAGAUUAGAUCUAAUCGGCUAUGUAAAGAAUAAUCAUGAUCCAAUUGAAAUCGAAAAAUUGUUAGAGAUUCAAUUCCAUUCUUUUGUGAUGUUGUUGUUUUGGUCUUCUUCUGAAAGUUGGGUAAAGGGCAACUGUGCGAAAAGUUGUGAUUUUAAAAAACCAAAGAAAACAUGUUGGUUUAGUGGAUCGGACAUGUGUUGGGUCUGGUUAGUGAACUUGUGCUUAUGUUCUUAGAUUAGUCGCUAUGCAUGGUUGAACCAUUCUAUCAUGGUUCGAACACAUAGUAAAAUAAGUUAAAAGCAAUAACGGUCACUUAAGUUUGGGUUAGGUGACAUUUUUGUCACUCAAUAUAAGGCAGGUAACAUUUUCGUCACUCUAGUUUGAGGUAGGUAACAUUUCAAUCACUUAACUUUUUGCUUAAGUUUGGGAUAGGUAACAUUUGAGUGACUUUAGUUUGAGGUAAGUAACAUGUCAUUCAACUUUUUGCUCAAAUUUGAGGUAAGUAAUAUUUUCGUCACUCAAUAUAAAGCAUGUAACAUUUCAGUCACUCUAGUUUGAGGUAGGUAACAUUUCAGUCACUCUAGUUUGAGGUAGAUAACAUUUCAGUCACUCAACUUUUUGGUCAAGUUUUACAUUUCAGUCACUCAAUAUAAGGCAGGUGACAUUUCAGCCACUAUAGUUUGAGAUAGGUAGCAUUUCAGUCACUAAACUUUGUUUCUCAACUUCUGUUACAUAUUCCACCCAAAAAGUUAAUGUGACUAAAAGACUCAAUUUCUGUGUUUAUUUCAUCAGACCGAAUAGGAUACAUGGUUGAACCGUCUUAUUAUAGUCGAUAAAAAUUCAACCCCGGCUUGGUAAAAAAAAUGAAAAAAAUCAUCACUAUUUCAUUUAGGAAGAAGAGAAAAAACCAUGCUAACCCUGUUGUUCAAUCAAUAGGAUACCUUACCAUUUCAGGAACCAGUUAAUGUCACACACCAAACAUUCCUGAAACUGAAACCAAAAGCUUUCCAGGCUUUUGCCUCCAUUCUAUCCAAAAACCCAAAGGGCAAAGAAAAUGCUUUCUUUACUUGCUAGUUGAACCUAAUCCAUCCUUUAUGAAAUGUUUUCAGGCUCCAUCUUCAAAUAACCGAACCCCUUCCGUUAGAAAUCGACAGACAAUAAACGGAAUAAGAAAAAAACCACCAUCUCUUUUCGCAACAAAAUCGAUAAAAGAUUGUUUACAAUUCCAUGGGGAUUGAGCAAGCCAUUGCAGUAGCUGCAGCUGCAUUAGCCAUUUCUGUUAUUGAAGAAGUACAAGAAGAGGCAUGGAUUCCGGUUCCAGAGCCAAAAAGGACAUUGCAGGAAGCAGCAUCUCAUCAAUCCUCUGCCACCAAGAGUCAAGGUAUGCAAGGUGGUUUCCAAUCAAGUUCUGGAUCAAUAAGGUAUGUGGAAGGGGCCUCAUCAGAUAGCAAUGGAGAUGAUGGAACAACACCCCGAAAGGUCCUUGUUCCGAUUUCUUCGAUGGCUAGGACUGAUAAUCCUGCUGCAGCAGCAAUGAAGAAAGAUCCAAGCUUUAAUGAAACCCCUACUGUUUCAUCUAUAAAGAAGACACCUUCAUUUGUGGAUAAAACUGUUCCUAAUUCCAUGCCAACUUCCACCAAAGCUGGGAUUCCAUUGAAGAGACCUGAAGCUUCUUCUACUGCAAAACCUGCUGCAACUGGUAAGCCAGCUGGAACCCCAGUAUCUUCUUCCCAAGCAGCAGAUGCAUGGGAGAAAAUGCAGCUGGAGAAGCUGAAAGCGAAGUAUAAGCAGCAGACUGAUCACAUCAUUUCGUGGGAGGACGGGAGGAAGGCUAAAGCAAGGCGUCGACUCGACAGAGCUGAGGUUUGUUUUCUCCAUUACAUCCAAAUAAUUCGAACUAACAGAUUGUCUGAUAACAUGCUUGUUUCUUCUUCGUGUUGGAUGAACUUUUGGGCAGAGUGAAAUGGAGAGGAGCAGGCUGAGAGCAUUGGACAAGUUUCGGGGGGACAUGGAGAUAGUGAAUAAGAUUGCAGGAGGAGCAAAGGCGAAGACAGCUGAGAGGAUGAAGAAGGAAGAGGUUAAAUUGAAGGAGAAAGCUGAUGCUAUCAGAAGAACAAGUGGCAAAUUCCCAGCAAGAAGGCCUUGUUUAUGCAUCUGAUCAUAUUAUGUUUGACUAAUAAUCUGUUGUAAUAUAAUGUUUGUAGCACUUUGUUGUGUUCAGGAAAUGUGUAUGCAUCUGAACAUCCGAAAUUAACUCCAAAUCCUGCCAAAUUCACCUCCAAUUCCGACUUCGAAAACGUAUCCUAUGUCUAUAAUCAGUUCGAAAUGCCAGAUCCAGUAAUGAAAUGAAGAUAAACACCCUUCUGCAUAUAUAUAAUUAAGAACACUCCGACAGAUAAACCAGACACAAAUUACAUUACUACAACAGCAACAACACACCGAUCAUAAAGUUAAUUAAACUCCACAUAAUCCAUACUUAUAUUCCCCCACCAAUCCACCAUACACCUUAAUUAAUUAAGUUAUUAAUCACUUGAAGAACCCUUCAGCCAUCUUAGCAUACCCGCCAAGCCCACCUCCUUCAGAUUUCUCCUCCUUACCGGCGGCGCCUUCCUCGGCCGGCUUGCCGGCUCCCUCAGCGGUCUUCGAACCGCCGCUGUACUGACGGAGAUAUUCCUCCGCCUUGUCGACGUACUGGCCAUAGCCCUUCUCGUCCAGCUUCCCGUACUUGUUGCCGGCCUCGAUCAGGUCCUCCGCCGCGUCGGCCACCUUGGCCUUGUCUAUGCCGUCGGCCGAUUUGCUCUGCAUCGCCGACUGGGCAGCUGCCGCCACCACUUUUGCGCUCGCCAUCAGCUCCGCGUUCGACGGCGCCGCUACCUCUUCCUUCUUGUCGCCGGCCGGGGCCGGGGUCGGUGCUGAGGGGUGUUCAGUUUCCUUGUCGCCACCGGUGGCUCCGGGGAGCUUGGACUCGGCUGCCUUGGUGAUGGAGGAAAGUAGGCCGUCCAUAAUUAAUUCUAGAUGCCAAAGGAGAAAGAAAUUAAAGCAGAGAGAUUUGUGGGAAGUGACUGAGUGAUUGGAGAUUGGAGGAUACGGUGGUUUAUAUAAUGCUUAGGAUAUUUUUGGAUAUCUUGAUUUUUUUUUAUAAAUACGCGAGAUGGACACGUAUUACUUGUGAUAUACGUGUGUACUUGUAUUUUAUACAGUAAUAUACGUGUUGUUUGAGUCUAAAACCUCUCGACGAAUUAAAUCGCUCAUGAAUAGUUGUAUUUGAUGUGAAAUUUUUUUGUUCAUGAUGAGUCGGGUAUGUUUAAUCAAAUAGGUUUGAGUUCGAACAGAAAUAAUUUUGGAUAUAUGCUUUGUUAAUAAAUUUAAUAAUGUAAUGUAUGUUUGCCUCGAAUAUUAUAUAUAUAUAUAUAUAAUUUAUUAUUAUGUNNNNNNNNNNNNNNNNNNNNNNNNNNNNNNNNNNNNNNNNNNNNNNNNNNNNNNNNNNNNNNNNNNNNNUCGAUCGAUUCGUGAUCAGCCCGGCUAAUCACAAAAAAAGCUAUACCAUUUUUACAAAUUAAAAAAAACUAUUAUAUUAGUUAAUAUUGGAGUAGGGAGUGUUUGGCAGGAGUAAGAGUUGCGACGUGGAAGAAUGAUGGCCACAAGAAGUUUAGAAAGGUGGUGACUAUUGAGUAUAAAAGUAUUAUCUUCCUGCUGUUCCAAUAUCUAGAUAUCUUUAUGACAAAAAAUGGGACCAGAAAACACGAUAAUUGUUUUUAUUUGCCGACAAUAACUCUCCAAGUACUCAACUCCGUGAUUAAUACACACCAAUUCAAUUAUAUUUUAAGAAGUUAAUUUGAUGUGCCAAUUAUCGAUACAAAAAAGAGACAUUCUGGUGCACAGUAGAAACUAUUCAGGUGGUUUGUUUAGUUUUGUAAAGAAAUUAUUAUGAACAAAUUCAUGGUUAGAUCCCUUAUGGAUAGUGGAUAGAUCAUUGAGAUUUUUGAAAGAGAAUUUGCAUCAUGUUCCGUGAGUAAUACACAUCGAUAUUUAUCAAUAUAAAAUAAAAAAAUAGAAAGUAAACAUUAUAUUGGUGUUUAUUUUGUGAAUUGUGUUGGAUUAGAAUUAAAAACUUUUAAAUUAUCACACACAUAAUUUUACCAUCAGAAUAAUUCCACUUCAAUACAUUGUAGUUGUUACGGUAAGGUUAAGUAAAAAUGAAAACCAAACUCUUAAUUUUAAUUUAAUCAUAUAGUUAAAGAAUUUCCAAAUAAGAAUAUGAACAAAAAUGUAAACAUCUAAUUCUAGCUAUUAUUCAAUUCCCAAAGCCACGUUACACAACAACACCAUCACAUGACUAACCACAAACAUAAACAGAAAAGAACCAGAUAGAAAAACAACAAGUACAACUGCAACAUAAUUAAUUAACACGCAGAUUUUUCAGCGGCGGGGAAUUAAACUAAAAUAAAAAAACAUGCAUAAUUAUUUUCAAUUUUCAUCCAUUUACUUCUUGGCAGUGGCGUUGUGGAUGGCCUGCUUCCCCUGCUCGACGUAGUGGGUGGUGCCGGCGACGACUGUGUCCUUAACGCCGAUCGCCCCCUCCUUGGUGUUGGCCACGAUCCCCGGGCCGGCCGGUGCAACCACGGCUGGCUUCUUCUCCUCGGCCUUGCCGCCGCCGGGCAUCAUGUCUUGGGCUUUCUUCAAUAGUCCGUCCAUAUCUAGUUAUAAACAAGUAGGAUUCAAAGAGAUGGGAAAUUGGUACGUAAGAGAUUUUAGUGUGUUUUGAUGGGUUUCAUGGGAUAUAUGGUACGUACUAGUUAUAUAGUGGUACAAAUUUUGGGAAGUUUGGAAGAUAUUUUGAUUGGCUUUUGCUGUGUGUGGCUUACAAUUGGCUUGCCGACAUCGAAAUGAACAGGUUCUACGUGAUAGUCUUUACA